Molecule: non-coding RNA, 221 nt
Filed under: Alishewanella agri
Lineage: Bacteria; Pseudomonadati; Pseudomonadota; Gammaproteobacteria; Alteromonadales; Alteromonadaceae
Also listed under: 1 other name
Source: RNAcentral
AAAGCCGUUUUGUUUUCAGGUGCUUUGCCAGCCAGGCAAGGUUAAACGGGAAUCUGGUGUAACACCAGAGCUGCCCCCGCAACGGUAACUUACUGUGUUUAUUUCAGAUGCCACUGUCAUAAGUCGCUUACUACAGGCGCUCAGAUGGGAAGGCGAAAUAGACGGUAGCCCUGUGCUACCAGGUAAUAAGCCCGGAGACCGGCCUGAAAAUUCCCCUAACC